RNAcentral lists this long non-coding RNA (244 nucleotides) under Elaeis guineensis (African oil palm). Its description in RNAcentral is "long non-coding RNA (EGUI_LNC024917)". The record is from RNAcentral. Lineage: Eukaryota; Viridiplantae; Streptophyta; Magnoliopsida; Arecales; Arecaceae.
CGGCGACCAACAUUUUUUUUUUCAUUUUCUUCAUUCGAGCAAUCGAAGCAACUCGAUCGGACCAUCUCCGUGGUUGGCCUCAUUCUUUAGAUGGAGACUCCCCUCUCGAAAGAGAUUCUACGAUGAGCAUUUUGUCAUUUUUCAAAAGGUAUACUAUUUGUUGAGGAAGCAUUUUUAAAUAAGCAUUUUUAUUUAGUAAUAGCCUCUUUUGAGCAUCUUAAAUUAUAAUAUGAUAUUAUAGGUU